This is a long non-coding RNA of Nymphaea colorata (pocket water lily), 727 nucleotides long. RefSeq lists it as uncharacterized. The record is from RefSeq and is a predicted model, not a curated record. Lineage: Eukaryota; Viridiplantae; Streptophyta; Magnoliopsida; Nymphaeales; Nymphaeaceae. The transcript has 3 exons.
AUUCUUCUUUCUCCUUCAUUUCUAUGUUGAUUCUGUUCGUUUUACUAGUGAACUUUUCUUUUUUGCUGUUUUUAAUCAUGCUUGGGACUUCUCAUUCAUUUCUAUGUUGUUUGUGUUCGUUUUACUAUUGAACUUUUCUUUUUUGCUAUCUUUUGUAAUGCUUGAGACUUCUUGCCACCAGUUUUUCUUAAUUAAUUUCCAUUUUGUUGGCUCAGCAGAAGCCGCCGCCGCCGCAUUGUCGUCAGGUGGUGGAAGCCCUCUUGCUCACCGACAGCCUGCACUUGUAGCGCCGUCGGACACUUGUGGCCAAGACCCGUUUUCGGCCACCCUUAUCAGCCCUUCCACCCGCUUGCCAUUUGCCUCAUUGUUGAAAGGUGCUUCUAGCCAUUGCCAUCGUGCCCCAUCAGGCCACACUCAAACAACUGGUGAUAAGUGUCAACAGAGACCAUUGCAACCACCAAGAUUACCCUUGGUGGCGAGGGAUUUCCUACACCUUAUUUUUUAACUUUGCAGGGAAACAAACGAAACUGUUGAUGCAUUGGGCUCAACUGAAGCUGCUUGGUUCAUUCUUCAUUGGUGCCCUUCUCCACUCUUUCACACUUCCCUACAGCAGAUUUAUCACAUUAUAGGUAUAUAUGUAUCACCAUUUUCAACAUUUAACGAUGUAACUCACUUCUCAGUUCAUGCCAUAAGUAUAUAUGUAUCACCAUUUUUCAAUAUUUAAGGA